UAACACGUUCAACCAUUGCAAACGUGGAGUGAGUAUUUGGCUGUAUUUAAAAUAACCGUUGGAAUUAUUCACAAAGGUUCCGUAGGUUGCUUUAUAUAUGAAUUUCUGCCGAUUUGUUAGUACUUCUUUUUCGGGUAAGUCUAAAUGUUCAGCGCUUCAUCCUAUCGACCUACUUAUACAUAUUAUAUAGUUCCUAUUGAGUGAAUUGAUAAUUCAUUUUCGUCCUGAAUAUAUAUAUAAAAAAAAACGUUGUAAAUUGAUUACAACCUCUAUAGAAUGAUACUCAGGAUUCAUUAAUAGAAUAUAUGUUAUGGGCGGAC
Molecule: long non-coding RNA, 320 nt
Filed under: Mytilus galloprovincialis (Mediterranean mussel)
Lineage: Eukaryota; Metazoa; Mollusca; Bivalvia; Mytilida; Mytilidae
Source: RNAcentral